RNAcentral lists this ribosomal RNA (248 nucleotides) under uncultured Muribaculaceae bacterium. RNAcentral describes it as "partial 16S ribosomal RNA". It matches the Rfam family "Bacterial small subunit ribosomal RNA", at positions 524 to 772 of the family's 1533-position model. Lineage: Bacteria; Pseudomonadati; Bacteroidota; Bacteroidia; Bacteroidales; Muribaculaceae. The record is from RNAcentral.
UACGGAGGAUGCGAGCGUUAUCCGGAUUUAUUGGGUUUAAAGGGUGCGUAGGCGGAAGUUCAAGUCAGCGGUAAAAUCGAGGGGCUCAACCCCUUUAAGCCGUUGAAACUGGGUUUCUUGAGUGGGCGAGAAGUGUGCGGAAUGUGUGGUGUAGCGGUGAAAUGCAUAGAUAUCACACAGAACUCCGAUUGCGAAGGCAGCACACCGGCGCCCAACUGACGCUGAGGCACGAAAGCGUGGGGAUCAAA